AAACGUUGUUUUCCAGUCAAGUCUUUUACCAGCGCU
This 36-nucleotide non-coding RNA is filed under the name Alexandrium tamarense. The record is from RNAcentral. Lineage: Eukaryota; Dinophyceae; Gonyaulacales; Pyrocystaceae.